This 45-nucleotide non-coding RNA is filed under the name Echinostoma caproni. Lineage: Eukaryota; Metazoa; Platyhelminthes; Trematoda; Plagiorchiida; Echinostomatidae. The record is from RNAcentral.
ACACUUCUGAUGAGUCUCAAGCAGGACGAAACAGCUGUCCAGUGU